CUCUAAAACAGUAAAACAAGAUAUUUGUAUCUACGUUGGACAUUCUCGUUUUGAAACAAAGCAAUUUUAACUCUUUCAAUUUGUCUUUUAGUUUGGAAUGGGGAAUACUGGUGUAAAAAGUCGUGGGGGAAUGUUAAGUUUCCCAGCAAGUUGAGUUAUUUUGGUCGUACGCCAAUUUGGAUGUUUGGGUCUUAUACUCCCCGGCUUUUAAAAUGUUUUUGCGUGAGGAUUCAUGAUGAAACUGAAUCCCGAUCAAAACGCGUCGAACACAACGAGAGCGGAAAGCCAGUAACAAAAAUCAACGGCC
RNAcentral lists this long non-coding RNA (307 nucleotides) under Mytilus galloprovincialis (Mediterranean mussel). The record is from RNAcentral. Lineage: Eukaryota; Metazoa; Mollusca; Bivalvia; Mytilida; Mytilidae.